UCCAGACUCCUACGGGAGGCAGCAGUGGGGAAUAUUGGGCAAUGGGCGCAAGCCUGACCCAGCAACGCCGCGUGAAGGAAGAAGGCUUUCGGGUUGUAAACUUCUUUUAAGAGGGAAGAGUAGAAGACGGUACCUCUUGAAUAAGCCACGGCUAACUACGUGCCAGCAGCCGCGGUAAUACGUAGGUGGCAAGCGUUGUCCGGAUUUACUGGGUGUAAAGGGCGUGUAGCCGGGUUGACAAGUCAGAUGUGAAAUCCUGCGGCUUAACCGCAGAACUGCAUUUGAAACUGUUGAUCUUGAGUACUGGAGAGGCAGACGGAAUUCCUAGUGUAGCGGUGAAAUGCGUAGAUAUUAGGAGGAACACCAGUGGCGAAGGCGACUUACUGGACUGUAACUGACGUUGAGGCACGAAAGUGUGGGGAGCAAACAGGAUUAGAUACCCUAGUA
Molecule: ribosomal RNA, 447 nt
Filed under: uncultured bacterium
Lineage: Bacteria
Description: bacterial SSU rRNA
Rfam family: Bacterial small subunit ribosomal RNA
Source: RNAcentral